GGCGCCUCCUUCAUGCCUGGCUCGCCGCGGGCGCUCGGCAAACGUGGAGGCGAUUUGUGCCCAGAGAACUGCUUUCCACACUUCCGUCUCUGGACGUAGCCCGUACCCUACAAGAAUUCGGCAGUUUUGGAGGUUUCUACUGAUACAUCCUCAAGCCCAGAGGUUCUUUCCUCAGCUGUGUGCAGUCUGCUAAUGAGCCCAUCAAACACAUUUCUUAUUCAGUUACAGUGAUUUUAAUCUGUAAUAUUUCUUUUUGCUUCUUUCUUAGAAUUUCCAUCUCUCUGCAUACAUCACCCAUCUGUUCUUGCAUGCUGUCUAUUUUAUCCAUUAGAGCCCUUAGCAUAUUAAUCAUAGUUUUAAAUUUUCAGUGUGAUAAUUCCAACAUCCCUGCCAUAUCGGAGCCUGGUUCUGUUGCUUGCUCUGUUUCUUCAAACUGUGUGGGGUUUUUUUUCUUUUAAUAUAUCAUAUAAUUUUUUGUUGAAAGAUGGAGAUGAUGUACUGGAUAAAAGUGCUGUAAAUAUGCCUUUAGUAAUGUGGUGGUAUGGUGUGGAGUGGGAAGAAGUUCUGUAGUCCUGUGAUUAGGUGUCAGUCUUUUAGUGACUGGAUUAUCUUUGCCACUGGAUUAUGAAGUUUGCAUGUUCUUCUCAGUCCCUUCCCCAGUUAUGUGGGACAGGAUGGUUAGAAUGGGCUGGAACUGGAUAUUUUCCUUCUCCCAUGUGGAAGGCUAAAGGAGGCUGGAGUUGUGUAUUUUCCUUCCUUCAUGUGGAAAGCUAGAUCCAGCUGGAGAUGGAUAUUUCCCUUUCCCAAGGUCAAUUAGUCUCUGAUAGACCCCAGCAGGUUAGGCUCUGGUUAAAUAGUUUCAGCUGAGGGCAGAGCUUAUUAAGAAGAACAGAAUGCUCUGGUGUAUUUCAAAAUGGCUCUCUUUCCCCAGCUCCUGCCAGAAGCAGGAAGGGAUUUUUCUCCAGUAUUUACUGUGAGAACCUGAUGAACUCCUGGAGGUAAAACCCACAAAAGUGUGAGUGGGCCCCUCUGGAGUUUUUAACUUUUCAGACUUGCCUGCACCAAGCCUCCAGUGAUUUGUCAAUUACUGUUCAAGUUUUCCUACCCCAGCACCAGUUCCUGUAGAAGUUUUCAGCUCAUGAGUUUCUACUCUGGAUUACACUGAGUUCUUUAGAUGCAGCUGGCCUGCUCCUUCCUGACUGUUGUUUCAGCUUGUGCCUUAACCAGACAGACCAAAGGUGGGGCUGUUUAAUUCCUAUUCAUCCUUCAAUAUUAUAUAUAUUAUAUAUAUACAAUACUAUACUUGAGUACCACUUCCAUAUCCAGCUUAGGUAGCUUGACACCGUAGGCAAGUAGACACCACUUAGGCAGCAAUCACUUCCUCUUCUCCACUCCCAAUGUACCUCCAUAGAGCUGACUGUGGCCCUUCUGAUACUGCUGUAAAAAACCACUUGGUACUGAACUAUUUCAGCGAGUAUAUGAUUAGCUCCUUGAGGCCAGGUGUUCAUCUUUGUAUGCCCAUAGUCACCUGCAAGAGUUCUAAUCAUCAAAUCUUUGGUAAAUAAACGUCCAAAUUAUAAGAUAUGUAUAAACUAGGGGCAAGAAAAUGAGCGUAUAACUGUGUUUUCUGAAAUAAGCAUUAACCAUUUUUUGUUGGAAAAUUCAAUCUCUUAGUUGAAGAAAAAAUUCAAAGCAAACAUUUUAUAAGAACUUUUUCUCAGGAUAAUUUAAAGAACACACUACCAGCCAUGCAUACUCAUAUGCAGUGGUUUAUUCCUUGAAGAUUUUGUGAGGAUUAAAUGAGAUAAUCUUUCUACUGGCCCCUCAGCACAGUGCCUGACACACAACAAUCAUUUAAAAAGUUGGUCUUUAACAUUAUUAUAAUCAUUCAUAGAUCAUGUUCACCCAGGUUCUUCUAAAAUCUACAUUACUGAGUCAACUAUAAUUACUGAGUCAACUAUAUUUAGCACUCUUAGAAAUGGAUGCACUCUUUCAGGCCACGGAAUACAAUACAGUAGCCUGCCAAGGUGGACUGAAAACUUAAGGUCUCAUUAACAUGUGAUAGUGGUUAGUUGGGUCCAUGUUCAUGUGUCAGUACCAAAUUGCCUAUUUAGAAAACUAACAAGCUGGCUUCGUAACACUGAGCAUAGAUGCUGUACUAGAAAUCCUAGGUUCUCAACUAUCAGAAUAAUUUUAAAAAACAAUAUAAAUAAGUUGGCAGUAUUUUAUAUACUUGAAAGUCCAUAAUUUCCACGUGUUUUCAUUCUAGCCUUGUAAACUUAGAGAACACAGUUACAGUUAUACACGGAAAUGAAACAAAUUAACAGGUUAUAUUUCCCUGUCCUGAUUUUGUUAUUGAAGUAAUUUAAUAUUGUAUGA
Molecule: long non-coding RNA, 2379 nt
Organism: Aethalodelphis obliquidens (Pacific white-sided dolphin)
Lineage: Eukaryota; Metazoa; Chordata; Mammalia; Artiodactyla; Delphinidae
Exons: 3
Source: RefSeq, a predicted model, not a curated record